UUUGGAAAGUUCCCUGCACCCUCCCUUUGAGUAGUCUUGAAGCCUCUCUUCCGACCAUUUCCAAAUGUCUCGAACAGACGUGUUUCUUCAAGGUAAUCUCAGCCAGUUUGGCCGUGUCUACCAAUCAGCACGUUACUUGAAGCUUUUUCAAUCCAAUUGGCGCAGAUUCUUGAAGCUGAGCGCGAGUCGUCUCCUUUUUGAGGCCCUAAUUGGUCUCUUUCUGCUACCAAAAUGAUUAAAAAAAGAAUCCCAACAUGACAUUCAGGGCGGUGCAGAUGAUGCGUUGCUAUUUUAAAAGCUACAAGACCUUCCACACGUGUGUUUUUGUAGCAUUAGUUUAGAGAACCAGAGACAGUGCUACAACUACAAAUAAACCUCACUGUUCCAUAUCAUUG
Molecule: long non-coding RNA, 395 nt
Filed under: Phoenix dactylifera (date palm)
Lineage: Eukaryota; Viridiplantae; Streptophyta; Magnoliopsida; Arecales; Arecaceae
Description: long non-coding RNA (PDAC_LNC023073)
Source: RNAcentral